RNAcentral lists this unclassified non-coding RNA (322 nucleotides) under Hevea brasiliensis (rubber tree). The record is from RNAcentral. Lineage: Eukaryota; Viridiplantae; Streptophyta; Magnoliopsida; Malpighiales; Euphorbiaceae.
AGCCGCUACAGUUUUCUUGGAGCCCAAGCAGUAGGAACCCGCGAAACAGGUGAUGAAAAUCCUUUCCUUUCCGUAACCUCCUUUUCUAGCUGGUUUCCGUCCCUCAUAUAAGCUUCGAUGGAGACUCCUCUAAAACCCGCGUAGAGAAGGUCAAUCUUAGAAGAAGAAGAGAUAAACCCUAACGUGAAGAAGAAGAUGAACCACUUGGUAGUCAGGUCGGUGGUGCGAGGCUUCCUGGUCAAUGGAGCUCGUGGCGGCAGGUACUUUUCGACGGCAACGGCAGUAAAGACGUCUGGUGUUUUGAAGCCGAUGGACGUUUGGA